Ferroglobus placidus DSM 10642 is the source of this 72-nucleotide transfer RNA. It matches the Rfam family "tRNA". Rfam says of the family: Transfer RNA (tRNA) molecules are approximately 80 nucleotides in length. The record is from Rfam. Lineage: Archaea; Methanobacteriati; Methanobacteriota; Archaeoglobi; Archaeoglobales; Archaeoglobaceae.
GGGCUCGUAGCUCAGCGGCAGAGCGCCGCCUUCGCAAGGCGGAGGCCCCGGGUUCAAAUCCCGGCGAGUCCA